GUUGAAAGGACCCACGGUGCGGUAACUAGCAAGCAUCACUCCAAAAGACUAUCAUAUCCUUGACUAUCAAGCAAGGGAAUCACUAGUUCCAUCUUGGUACUAAGGAUAAUAGAAUAUGUCCAUACGCAGGGGACAAGCACUAAUUUCCUUUAACUAGUUAGGUGUGUUUAGCGGCAACCAAAAUGGGUUCCACAUUUGUUGUCAAAUUAUGUACCGUCUGCAAUGAAUGUAAUCUAUGCAGUGGGGCAUUCUACAUAAGCCCCCCAAAUUCUUUUUCUUAGUUAUACAUUUGCUUGAUUUUUGUGCAAUAACUUGCUUCACUUUA
Arachis ipaensis is the source of this 325-nucleotide non-coding RNA. Lineage: Eukaryota; Viridiplantae; Streptophyta; Magnoliopsida; Fabales; Fabaceae. The record is from RefSeq and is a predicted model, not a curated record.